Long non-coding RNA from Cyprinus carpio carpio, 340 nucleotides. NCBI's taxonomy places the organism in Eukaryota, Metazoa, Chordata, Actinopteri, Cypriniformes, Cyprinidae. The record is from Ensembl.
ACCAGCUUAAAUCUGAUUAAAGUUUUUUUUUUUCAGCAGGGGCAAAGCUCAGAUCCAGAUCAGACAUAUCAUGAAAAGAAAAUCUCAUUUUGCCAGUUCCUCUUAAAUCUCACCUUCUCUCUGGCUGUCCCUGACCAUCCUGUGAACACCGUUUCCAGGGCAACAUCCCUGGUGGCCAGCAGAUGCAGAGAACAAUGCCUGUCCAAAGCAGAGGGACCUCUUCAGAAUCUGCAAUGUCAAGACAGGUGAAGACAGGCUGUAUUCUGUGCUAAGUCGCACAUCACUGAGGAGAUUUAAACUUUCGUUUAAUCUGUGACAGGAAGAAUAAGGCUGCAAAACA